Molecule: transfer RNA, 72 nt
Filed under: Ornithorhynchus anatinus (platypus)
Lineage: Eukaryota; Metazoa; Chordata; Mammalia; Monotremata; Ornithorhynchidae
Rfam family: tRNA
About the family: Transfer RNA (tRNA) molecules are approximately 80 nucleotides in length.
Source: Rfam by way of RNAcentral
AGCAGCGUGGCUCAGUGGAAAGAGCCUGGGCUUGGGAUUCAGAGGUCUUGGAUUCUACUUCCGGCUCUGCCA